UUGAUGCUCUUGUGAUGUAUCUCAAGGAUGAAGGUUCAAGAAAGUGAUUGGUUGACACCUUUCAUAGGCCUAUGGCUUAAUGGGUUUCGCCCAUUAGUGUUUUAGGUUUGAUUCCUAGUCUAUAAAUAGGGAUGUUCACUAGCCAUUUUUUUGUGUCUUGAAUUGUAGAGAGAAGGAAAAACAAAUAAAUUUUGUGUCUUGUGUACUUUUGGUUUCGUUUUUUAACUAUAUUACUUACUAACAAAUGGUAUUAGAGUUGCGGUUAGUGUUCUUUUGAUUGAAGAUGUCAACUCUUAAGUUUGAUUUGUAGAAGUUCAAUGGUUCCAACGACUUCACUUUAUGGAAAAAGGAGAUGAAGACUCGUCUGGUUCAAUAUGGUACGCCCUCCAUGACUACACUUAGGGAUCCUUCUUUUAAGAACAUUCUCAGUGUACACGGUAAUUGGGUUAUCAAGUUCUACUACAAAGGUAAAUACAAUAUAUUUACAUGCAAUGAUGAUGAUGAUGAUGAUGAUGAUGAUGAUGUGUGUGUGUGUGUGUGUAUAUAUAUAUAUAUAUAUAUAUAUAUAUAUAUAUAUAUAUAUAUAUAUAUAUAUAUCAUCUUCUUUAUCUUAUAAAGCUAGUCUACAUAUAAAGGAAACAUUUAUAAGAAAACACUUUUCGUUUCACCACAUUAAUUUGAAACUCCCAUUCAUUUUUCGUUAACCACAUUCAUUUGAAACUCCCAUAAAUUUUCAAUUUCUUUCUAAUAAUAAAUUUAAGUUAGUUAAUAAGGUUAAAUAAAUAUCAAACCUAAAUUAUAAUCAUAUAUAAACUAAAUUUCAAUAUUAAAAUAAUAUUUUUGCUUCCACUUAUAAAGUUAUGCUUUUUAAGUUCCAACAUAUUAUACUUAAUUUAUUAGUUUUAGUAUAUUGAUGGAUGUAAACCAUUAUCAUUUUAAAGAUACAAUUUUGGACUGAUUUAUAUAAAAUACUUAAAUUGUUAAUUUAAAUAUAACAUUACAGGGUUAACUUAAAUAUAAAUUUUUGUUUAAAUUAAACAACCCAUAAAAUAUUUUGUAAAUAGUUAAAAGUGAUAAAUUAUAGUGUCUUUCAAAUAAUAAUUAAAAGUUGGUUAAUAAGGUUAAAUAAAUAUCAAACCUAAAGUUUGAUCAUAAAUAAAUUAAAUUUCAAUUUUAAAAUAAUAUCUGAUAAUUUGUAGUGAUAAAUGCAUAAACUAAAUUGUAAUCUCAAUUUAUCUAAAAUAUUUUUUAAAGAUAUUUUUAUAAUCGUUAAAAGUUUUCACAUAAUCAGCUUAAAAUAACUUACAAUAACAAUAGCUAAAAAUAACUCUAUAUAAAUAAUUAUAUUGUUACCUUUAAAAUAAAAAAACAAUAUUUCAUGUUUUAAAUAAUUAUAAUGAUAGAAAUUAGAACAUUAAGCAAAUAAGUUUUAAAAAAUUAAUUUACAAUAACAACUAUAAAUAACACUAAACCAUAUGUUAUAUUUAAUUUUAUUUAGGUGUAGCUCGCAGGUAGAAGUCAUUUAAAUGACUGAGAUUAUGUAGUUAUAAUACGUGUAUAUAUUAUCAUAUAAUUCAAAAUAAUCAAGAAUAUAUUAACUUAGUAUACAAAUUAUUAUAUCAAAUUUAACAACGUUAUUAUUAUAUUUUAAAAAAGCAUAUAUUUGUAAAGACUUCAACUAUAUAGGUUUUUCUGCAUAAUGCGCGGGCAUUCGCCUAGUAUACUUAUAAAGGAAACAUUUUUCAUUUCACCAUAUUCAUUUGAAACCCCCAUGCAUUUUUUUUCACCACAUUCAUUUGAAACUUUCAUGACUUUUCAAUUUCUUUCAAAUAAUAAUUAUAAGUUGGUUAAUAAGGUUAAAUAAAUAUCAACUCUAAAGUGUAAUCAUAUAUAAACUAAAUUUCAAUAUUAAAAUAAUAUAUUUGCAUUUACUUAUAAAGUUAUGUUUCUUAACUUUUAACUUAUUAUACUCUAUUUAUUAUUUUUACUAUAUUAUUGGAUGUAAACAAUUAUCAUUUUAAAGAUACCAUUAUGGAACAAUUUUGUAGAAGUCGAAUUUAGUUGUGAUGUGUCGAAUGUCAUUUUAAUGUUUCAUUAGUUUGUAACUUUAUUACAAGGGCACAUUUGUUGCGAAGCUUAAUAGAAUAGCCCUUUGUAUUUUUUUUUUGCUUUCAUCUUUCCUAUAAAUAGGGAAGUGUACUAGAGUAGAUAAGGACUUUCGCUUUGCUCAUUCGGGUAAACUUGUCUAUUCUCUUUGUACUCAUUGAAAGCUAAUCAGAGCCAAACAUAUUAUAUUUACUUCUUGGGUUCAUCAAUCAUUCUAUACUCUGAUCUUAUAUAUAUGUAUAUAUAUAUAUAUAUAUAUAUAUAUAUAUAUAUAUAUAUAUAUAUAUAUAUAUAUAAAUAUAUACCUCCUCUAAUAAACAAAACCGUAAUAUGCCACAUGUCCCUCUUCUACCUAUCUACUUUGCCACGUGGCAUCCUUUCAUGCACCCUUUGAUUUAUUCCUAGAUAUAAGACCUUCUGGUUCUAUUAAUCUAUCCCUUAAUCGAGGUAUUACUAUCAUUUACGCUGGAUUAUUAUGGUAACAACUCUAUCAAUUCAAUAUAUUCCAUGACAAAUUAGCAUUUAAUCUUCUCCAAUUUUGUAAUCAAUCGGUUCAUAUAUGCAUCCUGUAUUAUAUAUAUUCCUCAAUGACUAAUCAUUCUCGAUUCUUGAUUCAAGCUUAGUAGGGUAUCAUUCUUCUUCUUCUAACUUUGUUUUUAACUAUAAACCUGAUCAAAAAUGACAUCGAUUUCAAAUAUGACAUGUGCAAGUAAUGGAAAUUUGAUAUCUUGAUUCUACAAAGUCUUAAAAUGCCUUCAAGUUUGUUGGAUUGUGAGUCAUGUUACUAUGUAACUGCAUAUAUUUCUCAUAUUUUUUAGAUAAGGAAGAACUCAAGCAAUUUUGUAGAACUUGAUGAGCUUCUAAUGUUGCCCAUCAAAAUUCGAGAUUAACAAGGUUCUCUUCUCUUCUCUGUCUCACGUAUCUUACAUACCAAGUCCUCAUAGAAGUUUUUUUCUACAUAUGUUUUUGGGGUCUCUUAGUAGAUAACACAUGCCUAUAUGCUAAAGAUUUGAACAAAAAUCUUUUUUUCAAGUAUAACUUUUAGUUUUUAUGUUUAUAGAUUAAUUGUUUGAUGAAAUGUCUUAGUAAAUUAAAAGUCAUUUUUAUUUGAAUGAAUAAUAAAUAAGUUCUUAUUGGGGAAAAAAGUUGCAGGUUGGCAUACCUUUCUUCAGAUUAACUAUUAUUAUGAUAUUUAAAUGUCUUUGCAAUCUUGCUGGAGGAUCAAACCUCAAGCAAUGAUAUAUGCAGACUGGGAUGUUAUACAACAAGUUAAAAAUGAAGAGUAUGAAAAGAAAAUAUGUCAACUUGAUCUUGCUUCCUCCUUUAGCAUGUUUAAAAGGAAUAUGUGACAUUUUUAGAAAUUUAAACCAUAAUCCUAGCUAUCUUACGAUAUUUGUAUUAAAAAAUUGGACAAAAAUUGUCAGAUCUUAUGGUUGGAUAGAAUGGGCGGGAUAAAAACUCACCUUACAAAUGAUAAUUGCCGAAGAAAAAAAAAUAUUUUUUUGUUAACUCUAUUUUUAGUACUUGUUAUUUUUAAUGAUUAGUUUAGUUGGAUAUGACUAUUUAAAGUCACGUUAGUUAUUUUUGUAUAUUUUUUAGCAUUAGGUGUAUUUUUGUCAUAGAAAUCAUGGCCAUAAAAGACGUCAAUUUUGUGGAACUUAUAUACUCGAUUACUUUUAGAAAUCAUGGCCUAGUUCUUUGUAGAGGUUUCUAUUUUUUGGAGCUUUGUUGUUGUGUUUAAUCAUCAUAAAAUUUUCAUCCGAUGGUGCUCUAAUUUCUAGACUUUCAUCUUUGGUCUGAUUAUUUUGUCCAUUUUACACGUAUGGAAUCGUUUUUUCUUGCUAUGUUUAGUUUAGGAGCUCUUAUUGGUGUUAUUUGAAUACAACGAGGUUGUCUCAUGUUUAAAUGGGAGGUUCAUUUUUAUAAUGUAUGGUCAUUCUAAAAAUAAAAAUUACACUUAAAAUUUU
Non-coding RNA from Lactuca sativa (garden lettuce), 4073 nucleotides. NCBI's taxonomy places the organism in Eukaryota, Viridiplantae, Streptophyta, Magnoliopsida, Asterales, Asteraceae. The record is from RefSeq and is a predicted model, not a curated record.